UCUUGCCAUGUCAACAGCCCUUCUUCCCCCACUCUUGCCCUAGCAGGUUGCACAGCUGGGCUGCAGCAGCUGCAAGGACUGCUAGAUCUGCAGAGGGAGCCAGCAUUUUAUUUUUGGUAAGAUUUUUUUUUUCAGGGAGCUCAUGCUUUUUCAUGGAGCCCACCUGAAAUUGCAGCUUCUGUGAAAAAUUGCAAAGUCGCGAUUUUGAUGGAACCUGUUGUUAGGUCUUGUCAAGCAAACCACCAACUAUAAAAACAACAAUCAAACCAACUGUAAUCUUGAACAAAAAACUCACAUGAUGGGAGAUGUGUCAUACAUCACUUCAAGGAGAAACUUUCCAACUUGCUGAAGAGGAAAUGGGAUAAAAGUCAUAGUAGGAGACACAAGCCAGGUGAUAAAUCACUUCAAUUGUUUAUAUUUUAAACUACACUGAGAGAAUGGGCAGGGCUGAAAAGGAAACAUUUUUUGCUGGAAAGUGGUAACAGCUGCCAUCACCUCUGAUCUGUGGAAAGAAGAGGCUGAAGACUCUGGGCCUGAGGAUUAGAUGUCAGAGCUGACGUACUAUCAGAGCCAAUGGAAUUUGAGGCCAGACAAGUGUAACGUCCAGUAUCGUCCUCAAAGGCUUCUGCUAUGAUGAGUGAAUGAAGGCCUCCACUUUCAGAACGGAUCUGAAUAUCAGGAGUAUUCUGGAGUUCUUUUCCUUCACAGAACCAUCUGCGUAAAAACAAAAAACAUUAAAUGGAUUCAUAUCUAUCACUAACAAAAAAGCAUGGAAUUUUGCUACAAAAUCAAAACACAUUAAAAAAAAAAAACAUGGAGGAUCAGUUUUAUUUUCUUCGCUGGAUGUAUGGAAUAUGUAUGUGGCUAACACCCAGUAAAGGCAACUGACAUUAUUGGAAAUGAAAAAUGGAUGACUAAUAAUUUUUGCAAGUGCUGGCAUUCUACGAUCAUUUACAAUUUUUGCAACAACUCUAAAUUCCGGAACAUUAUCAGGCAUCUUAUGCCACCUAAUUGUUUUAUUUCUAGCAUUCUCUAUCUAUAAUAGGCUACAUAUAUAUUGGUCCAGUAGAUUGGUUCUGAGUGCCUGAUAAGUGUGUGUCUAAAACUGUAGUUAAGAGCUGAAUUACCUGCUUUACUUAGAUGUAAAUUUAACUGAAUGUAGGAUGCUAAAUUAUCUUGUAGACCUUCAUUAAUGUAGUACAUGACAAGCGUGUUUGAGACAUGAGUUCAAGAGCAACUUUCUGAUUAUGGGAUUAUCAGACUCUUCUUAAAUUAAGUGGCUGGACUCCAGGCAAGGGAAAAGAGUGACAGAUUAAUGGAGAUGCUUUGGAAAGGUCUAAGAAGUCAAAUUCUGUUCCCCAUUAGAAGGUAAACUAUGCUGCAGUGGGAAUAAACUGGUAAUGUACAAAAGGAACAUUAGCAUCUUUCCCAGAUUACUCCUAAAGUACACAGCAGGACCUCUCUAAAAGCCUACACACAUCCUCCUUUCUCCAAAAGUACUGCAACCUAAGAGACCAGCAAAUCAUAAGGAUACUGUUGCAGGGAGAGACAAAAGGGAGGACCCAAAAGGGUAAGGGGGGAACCCCGGGAGCAGAAGUCUGGGGAAGAACGGAGAGAAAAAAGCAAAAAUGAAAGCGAACUCUCACCUGUAGCGAGACCCGUGGAGAAGCGGGAACACUGGGAGGAACCCACACGAAUCAUCAGCCGCGCCUUCAUACAGCUGCGGCCAGCCGGUGACGUCAGCGGCGAUCACCGGUCAGCAGAAAUAAAGAGGACGGCCAGCAAAGAGGCAGGGGAACAGACGCCGGCAGAAACCCCAGCCGGAGGGGGCUCCAGGAGGCUCUGAGUGGAGCGAGCGGGGCCAGAAAUGGAGUUCCCCAGUGGGAGAGGAUCUGACGCCUCACGCGGCGAGGCAGGAGCUGCUGACUGCGGAGAAGGCAACACCGCACUAGGAGCAGGAGCCCCCGUGUGAAGAAGAGAAGGACAGGGAGGCAGAGCCCAGAGAGACCCCAAUCCAAGCGGUCACUGUGGAGAAGGGGGAGGUGCUGACCCACCAUCCAGCCUCCGACCAGGUGGGACAGUGAAGGGUCUCAGGGGGCCCGAAGAUAUGCCCCAGGGAGAGCGGCAUUGGCGAGAAGCCCCAGAGAGGGGACAGCUUCAUUGAGAAGCUCCUGAGGAGAGGGCAGCAUUAUCAGGAGUCACAGAAGCGAGGGGGAGAAAGCCUGGGGAAAGCCCCAGGGUCCCAUGACCACGCGGGGAACCUAAGAUAAGCCCAUAAAGGUCAGGGGGUGCUGGUAGUGUAUGAUUGGGCCUUAGGGGCUGGAUGCGAGUACCGAGGGGUACUUCGGGGUGUGGUAGGAAUACUCUUUUCUUUUGGAGAUUUGUUGUAAUAUAUUUUGUGUUUCCCACUUCUGGAGGGGUUGAGUAUCAGGGAACGCGAGGAGAACUGGUGGUGGUUUGAGUCUCAGGAUCGGAGUUAACAAGAAGGAACAUCAGUGUGCCCAAAAACGAGGGAAACACUAGGAGCCCAUCGUUCGGGAAUUUGGCCACAGGAACAACAGUGGCCCACCAGGCUGGGUAUAAGGGCAAGGUAGAGGGGAGGUGGAGCCUCGCAGAAGACCGCCAGAGAAACAGGGUGCCUGUGUGGGAAUCUGAGUGGUCCUGAACCCCACACUGUAUUAAGAUUCAAAGUUGUGGCAGGCGAGACAGGGGAGGACCACAUCAGGAGUAAACAUCGACUCGAAGGGCCACCUGGGAUAGCAAGGCAGACACCAGCAUACAUCCGGACCAACUGCCUGGGACAAGAUGUUCGAGGCCAGGCGGGCACAGAUACCUUAUAUAAGUAAGCACAUGUAGCAGUGACUUUCUUAGGUUUGACCUGGGGAGAAAAAAAAUCCAAGGCAUACUUUUCUAGUGCUUGCAAGUUAGUCAAGUCAAAAGUAGUUUCCAUCAGGAAAAAAGUUGCUAUUAAACUAUAAUGAAGGCUUUAAUUUUGCUCAAAGAAAAAAAUAUCAAAUAGGUACAGACCUAAAAAAGGAUGUUUCAGUAACUGAAAAAAGGAAUGAAAAUGGAAACAGGUAAGAAUGCUUACCAAUAAAGAGAUACAUCCUCUCCACAGCUGUGCCUGUAACAAUCUUAUUUUCCCACUUCUUAUAAUAUUCUCCUAUUUAAGAAAUCAUUCAGAAGGAACAACUGGAAAUCUCCAUUGGUUCUUUGCUCUUCUGUAGGUGCUCCUGGGGGAAAUGCAUUUCUUUGGUUCUCUAACCCAUAAAUACAGCCACAAAGUGAUUUGAUUUACCCAUUUUGGUUUCAGUGAAACAAUUAUUGAAACUAGGUGCUCUGUCAAGGACUAUUCAGUCACUACAAAAAGUUGGAGACAUUUCUUAGUUCUUAUGCAGUUCUAGGCCAUCAAAAACAUGAUUCAUGAUGUCUGGCUAGUGAAAAAUAAGCUGGAGAAUACAUGAAGAAAAACAGCCCUACAGUUUAGACGGUAUUUAUCUGGCAUGUGGAAUAUUUUAUAUUGUAAUCUCUAGAUGCUAUAGGUAAAAGAUGAGAGGUAUGAAUGGAAAUUCACUGUGUAUACCUUAAAAAAUAAAAGGUGUAGUUAACAAGAUGUCCAUCUAUCAUACUAGGCUCCACUUUUCUUGUACAGUGAGCUAUGUUUGUUUCCCUAAACUUUCACAGAUUCAUAGAUGUUAGGGCCGGAAGGGACCUCAAUAGAUCAUCGAGUCCGACCCCCUGCAUAGGCAGGAAAGAGUGCUGGGUCUAGAUGACCCCAGCUAGAUGCCUAUCCAAACUCCUCUUGAAGACCCCCAGGGUAGGGGAGAGCACCACCUCCCUUGGGAGCCCGUUCCAGAC
Molecule: long non-coding RNA, 3858 nt
Organism: Alligator mississippiensis (American alligator)
Lineage: Eukaryota; Metazoa; Chordata; Crocodylia; Alligatoridae
Exons: 8
Source: RefSeq, a predicted model, not a curated record